Molecule: long non-coding RNA, 1398 nt
Organism: Triticum aestivum (bread wheat)
Lineage: Eukaryota; Viridiplantae; Streptophyta; Magnoliopsida; Poales; Poaceae
Exons: 5
Source: RefSeq, a predicted model, not a curated record
UCCCCAUCCCGGCCGCCGCGAGAGGCGGCCUCGACCCGUCUCCCUCAGGUUCUCUCCGCUCUCACACCCUCCGUGUCCGUCCUCUGGAUUCCGUUUCCCGGGGCCUUGCGCUUAGCGACGCACGCCGCGCGUGCUGGACCGGCGACCGAUAUCGUACAUGUGGCUAGCUCGAUAGGACGCGGAUCCGUUUGUUGGCUUGAAUUCGUGGAUUAUGCCGCUGUUAUUCACGGACUGGGACUGGUGUUAAGACAGACUGUCAGUGCACUGGCAGUGGCAGUGAUGAAGAGCAAGAGCUCUCCGGAUGAAUGAUUUGGAGUGACUCCUACACUAAUUCGUAAACCUAGAUUCCUGAAAUGGCACAUAUCUUCUCUCUGUCUAUCACCAAACUUGCUCUAUCAGUCAAGACUAUGCAUCCAUUUGCCACUUGCUGGCCACAUGUUAAUUCAGCUCCCGCAAUUAAUGUUACCAAAUGAAUAUCUUCUCUGUUUCCCCAAACUCGCUUUAUCAGUCACGGCCGCAUAUCGAUCUGCCACUUUCCUGCCAUAGAUUAAUUCAGCUCCCUGAAAAAAUAAGAAUAGAAAAAAAAAUCAUCAUCGAUUUGGUCGUCUAUUCAUUCUUCAUAAACUUCACAUGCAAUUUCUAGCAUAUGGUGUUCACCCAAGUAAUAAUCUGCUAUUGUUAACCAGGUAUCAUCGAUGAAAAACAUGGGUCGUUUUCGCGUACUCUUCUUCAGGAUAAGCCUGAGAUCACGGAAGAAAUGAUUCGUGGGUAUAUGAGCAAUUCUGAACUUGAGACUGCUAUACAAGACUUUGGGUGGCGCUGUGCUAAUGUCUCUAGGAUAUACAGGACCCGAGCAUCAAGGAGAUGGCGGAGCAGAUCGCCAAGGACCCGUCCUUCAGCGAGAUGCCCCGUAAAUCUACUGUAUGAUCAAUCAAAACACGUUUUGUCCAAAGUCCAAACUUAAUGGUGUGAUAUUGUGGCAUAUUUACCCUGGAGCUAGCAUAUAUAUGGAGCUGACUUUGUUCCUGGAGGAGCAGACACAGAUGAGGAAUCUGCUACCUCAAAGCAGUUGAUCGACGCCGGGAGGGUGGGUACGUGAUGUCGGAGGCUGCCGGGAGGGUGGUGACGAGCUACCGAAGAGAUGAGUUCUGGCUCUCCUCGAUGCCAGGACGAGGCGCUGUUGCCGAUCGGACGUGGACUCGAUUGAUUUUGAUUUGAAAUAUGACGGGUUGUAAUGUAAAAUGCACUUCAGUUCAAAAUUUCCUCCCCUUGCGAGAGGUAUUCUUGGACGCAGGGAGUAGAAGAUUAGUUAUAGGAUUUUGUUUUAUUUCUGUGCAAUUUUCUUUUUAUUGGAUACUUAUAAAGACAUGGUAAUAUUCUUGCUAUAAUAAAAAUGAU